AUACGGAGGGUGCAAGCGUUAUUCGGAAUCACUGGGCGUAAAGGACGCGUAGGCGGGUCGGCAAGUCAGAUGUGAAAUCCUACAGCUUAACUGUAGAACUGCAUUUGAAACUGCUAACCUAGAGUAUGGGAGGGGGAGAUGGAAUUAGUGGUGUAGGGGUAAAAUCCGUAGAUAUCACUAGGAAUACCGAAGGCGAAGGCGAUCUCCUGGAACAUAACUGACGCUAAGGCGUGAAAGCGUGGGGAGCAAACAGGAUUAGAAACCCCAGUAGUCC
This 274-nucleotide ribosomal RNA is filed under the name uncultured bacterium. Its description in RNAcentral is "partial 16S ribosomal RNA". It matches the Rfam family "Bacterial small subunit ribosomal RNA", at positions 523 to 796 of the family's 1533-position model. The record is from RNAcentral.